UGCAGUCGAACGAUGAUCUCCCGCUUGCGGGGGUGAUUAGUGGCGAACGGGUGAGUAAUACGUGAGUAACCUGCCCCUGACUCUGGGAUAAGCCUGGGAAACCGGGUCUAAUACUGGAUACGACCCUCCGUCGCAUGGUGGGGGGUGGAAAGGGUUUGACUGGUUUUGGAUGGGCUCACGGCCUAUCAGCUUGUUGGUGGGGUAAUGGCUCACCAAGGCGACGACGGGUAGCCGGCCUGAGAGGGUGACCGGCCACACUGGGACUGAGACACGGCCCAGACUCCUACGGGAGGCAGCAGUGGGGAAUAUUGCACAAUGGGCGGAAGCCUGAUGCAGCGACGCCGCGUGAGGGAUGACGGCCUUCGGGUUGUAAACCUCUUUCAGCAGGGAAGAAGCCACAAGUGACGGUACCUGCAGAAGAAGCGCCGGCUAACUACGUGCCAGCAGCCGCGGUAAUACGUAGGGCGCAAGCGUUGUCCGGAAUUAUUGGGCGUAAAGAGCUCGUAGGCGGUUUGUCGCGUCUGCUGUGAAAGCCCGGGGCUCAACCCCGGGUCUGCAGUGGGUACGGGCAGACUAGAGUGCAGUAGGGGAGACUGGAAUUCCUGGUGUAGCGGUGAAAUGCGCAGAUAUCAGGAGGAACACCGAUGGCGAAGGCAGGUCUCUGGGCUGUUACUGACGCUGAGGAGCGAAAGCAUGGGGAGCGAACAGGAUUAGAUACCCUGGUAGUCCAUGCCGUAAACGUUGGGCACUAGGUGUGGGGGACAUUCCACGUUCUCCGCGCCGUAGCUAACGCAUUAAGUG
Molecule: ribosomal RNA, 801 nt
Filed under: Kocuria sp. 12-13
Lineage: Bacteria; Bacillati; Actinomycetota; Actinomycetes; Micrococcales; Micrococcaceae
Also listed under: 1 other name
Description: bacterial SSU rRNA
Rfam family: Bacterial small subunit ribosomal RNA
Source: RNAcentral